UCGACUAGCCGUUCAGGAGCCCUCGAACCUCGCUUCAACUCCGAUAACUGCGGAGAAAGCAAGAACUCGGCUACCAGGUAUGUUUACAGUCCCUAAAUUUCUUUCUUUUAUUCCUUUUCUACUCAAAUAAAGAACCAAAUACUCAUAGGAACAAAGAACUGAAAGAAAAAAAAGGAAAAGAAAACCAAAUGCAAAGGAAACUUUCGAUCACCUUUCGAACUUUUUUCUUUCGAUUUUUCUGAAUAUUUUUUUUUGUAUACAAUAUGUAUGUGUUUUUUUGUAUCCACUCCCCACUUACAAAGGCCUUUUUUGCCUUUUGUCUUAUAGGCCGAAAAUCUAAAACAAAAAUAAAAUAAAAAAGAAUACAAUUUUCUCCUUUUCUUUGCUGCGUUUUUCGUUUGCGUUUGCUGCAAGUACGGCCGUACGAUGUCAGGGACGUGGCGCGGAGGCGCAGCACGCGCGGGGAUCUGACUCUGUUGCGUUGUUCGUCUUUCGUUUGUUGUAGAAAUGGCCAUACGAUGACGUGGCACGGCGCAGCGCAUGGAGGUGUGGGGAGAAGGAGGCGCACGUGCGAGGGAAGGCGGCGGCUAAAGAUCUCAGAAACCCUAGGGUUUCUGUUUGUGAUUCUUUUUGUUUUGGGCUUCAAUGUAAUUGGGCCGAGGUAUUUGGGCCAUUGUAAUUGGGUUUGUAUAACUGAACAUUUGGACUUUAAUUAUAUAUAUUUUUUAUUUGGGUUUUAAUAUCUGUAUCGGGCCGGGCAAAUUUGGGCCACUACAGAAACACGUAUUUUACAAAAAAUGGUCCCGAC
RNAcentral lists this long non-coding RNA (808 nucleotides) under Gossypium barbadense (sea-island cotton). RNAcentral's name for it is "long non-coding RNA (GBAR_LNC022712)". The record is from RNAcentral. Lineage: Eukaryota; Viridiplantae; Streptophyta; Magnoliopsida; Malvales; Malvaceae.